UAAAGCGUGCGCAGGCGGUUAUAUAAGACAGAUGUGAAAUCCCCGGGCUCAACCUGGGAACUGCAUUUGUGACUGUAUAGCUGGAGUGCGGCAGAGGGGGAUGGAAUUCCGCGUGUAGCAGUGAAAUGCGUAGAUAUGCGGAGGAACACCGAUGGCGAAGGCAAUCCCCUGGGCCUGCACUGACGCUCAUGCACGAAAGCGUGGGGAGCAAACAGGAUUAGUACCCCUGU
This 230-nucleotide ribosomal RNA is filed under the name uncultured bacterium. RNAcentral describes it as "partial 16S ribosomal RNA". It matches the Rfam family "Bacterial small subunit ribosomal RNA", at positions 561 to 790 of the family's 1533-position model. The record is from RNAcentral.